Formica exsecta is the source of this 1479-nucleotide long non-coding RNA. RefSeq lists it as uncharacterized. The transcript is spliced from 3 exons. The record is from RefSeq and is a predicted model, not a curated record. NCBI's taxonomy places the organism in Eukaryota, Metazoa, Arthropoda, Insecta, Hymenoptera, Formicidae.
CGUCGUUGCUGCGCCACUUCGGCGGCAUUCCACCCUUAAAGCCUACGCUCGUUCCGAAACGAAACCUAGGCCUUGUUGAGACCGCAAAUCGAGCCACCCGGCCACGAAGAAAAUCCGGUGAAGAAACAAGCGGGAUUAGGGACUGUUGAGGCGAGGGACACAAGCAGAGACAUGGACAAUGUGCAAAUGAUCGGCACUAAAAUCACAGCGAUCAAGGAAUACUUAUAUAAUUUCGCACGAACGCAUUCACCCACGAGACUAAUGAGUUCCGAAAACACCUAUUCGCUCUCCAAGGAGCAUUGCAACUUGAAGUAUUCGGGUAAGUGCUUAUGAGGAUUUUUAGUUAAUCAGUUUUUAUUUGAAUAUUGCAUGUAUUCGAGAGAAUUUAAUACAAAGAUAAAUAUUUUGUUUUUUUGACAUAAUUGAUGAUUAUGUGCUGCAUGAACGCUGCUUUGAUUAUUCAUAAUUCCGUGUAACUUAUAUAACGAUAUUAUCAGCAUCAUCCAGUUGUGAUAUAUAAAAUUCAAGAAGAACAAAUUAUAUUAUAAGUAUAUUUUACAUUACGUGAGCGUUGACUUAGCUUUUCGAGGGCAAAAUCCAAGCGUCACAAUAUUGUCCUGAUUUCGCGAGGCUUGUGGGUCGGAAGGGUGCAUAAUAAUAGAGGAUUUAGAAUUAUUCCAAAGAGGUUGGUAGACUCCGAGUGGUUGAGGACAGAUUACACGCCGCAGGGAUGCGGAAGGGUUUGUCAUCUUCGCCGUUUGGGAAGUGUUAGCGGGCGAUAACGACAUGCGCGUGCCGCUCGUAGAAUUUUAGAUAUUUUAAUGGAUCUUUAUCUCGAAUGAUUUUUAUUACGAUUUUUGCAAACGAUAUAUAAGCAUUUACAAAAAUUUCGUUAGACAACGCAUCGUAACGCGAAAUCUGCAGUAUUACUAUAAAUUAAGGUCGUAAUCCGGUUUAUAAAUCGGCGUGACUAAUUGCCGCGUGUAACAAUCCCCAGAAGACGCGUUGAUUAAAGUCGAGAUGCGAGGGUCUAGACACAUCUGGUGCCGAAUGACUAUACGCACGAUAGAUAUAUUGAGUCCGAACUAAGCAAUAUACUUGGCAAAAUCUGCGAGAUAACUGUGUUUCAUAAAAAUUAGAAUUAGGAUACAUAUACGUAAACUAAUAUCGCUUUUGUAUUUAACUGUUUAUCUAAAUAGAAAUAUUAUUAUACACGAGGAUUAUUAAAGUAUUAAUAGCCUAUUGUUUUUAACAGAAAUAAUUAAAAGAUGAAGCAGAUAACAAUUAAACGAUAAUUAUUUUAACGUAAUUAAAUCUUGCGAUAGCUCGAAACUUGUUUGUAUCUCGAAAAGUAUUAUAAACCUCGGGAAGAAGGCGAAGGUCUUUGGACAUUAGAUUGAUGGAGCUGGAUUAGCUGGAUCUGACUGUUGGAAACCGGGGAUUUCCCUUGUCUAACCAUAGGCUCAAGGCGAUUCACUA